GGACUGUGAUAGUCAUGAGCUGAGAUAAGCUUGGUACUACUUCUUUUUUUAUUUAUUUCUUGAUUUUUAUUUUCUUUGUAGAAAAAGAGUUAUGAAUAAUUUUUCAAAAAUGUGAAGUAAUGUUCUAGAAUGAAAAGAGAUUCGAUAUUGUCAAAGAAAGAAUUCAAUUUAUUAAAUGUUGAGUUAUACAAUGGUGAAUUGAAAGAGAAUAAUUGAAAAUACUUGUGAAGAAUGGAUAUGAAUGGAAGGAUU
Molecule: long non-coding RNA, 252 nt
Filed under: Physcomitrium patens
Lineage: Eukaryota; Viridiplantae; Streptophyta; Bryopsida; Funariales; Funariaceae
Description: long non-coding RNA (PPAT_LNC007110)
Source: RNAcentral